RNAcentral lists this non-coding RNA (29 nucleotides) under Mus musculus (house mouse). The record is from RNAcentral. Lineage: Eukaryota; Metazoa; Chordata; Mammalia; Rodentia; Muridae.
UGAGGUGUGUACACAAUGAUACAGGAUUC